This 775-nucleotide ribosomal RNA is filed under the name uncultured Neocallimastigales. RNAcentral's name for it is "partial large subunit ribosomal RNA". It matches the Rfam family "Eukaryotic large subunit ribosomal RNA", at positions 23 to 620 of the family's 3401-position model. Lineage: Eukaryota; Fungi; Neocallimastigomycota; Neocallimastigomycetes; Neocallimastigales. The record is from RNAcentral.
AGAGAGAGACAUGCGCGCAUAUCAAUAAGCGGAGGAAAAGAAACUGACAAGGAUUCCCUUAGUAACGGCGAGUGAAGCGGGAAGAGCUCAAAUUUGAAAUCUUCAAGGUUUUACCUUGACGAAUUGUAGUUUAAAGAAGUGUUUUCUGCUGGAGUUUUGGUAAAAGUUCUUUGGAAUAGGACAUCAUAGAGGGUGAGAAUCCCGUAUUUGACCAUUAUUUCAGCUUUGUGAUACACUUUCAAAGAGUCGGAUUGUCUGGGAAUGCAGUCCAAAAUGGGUGGUAAAUUUCAUCUAAAGCUAAAUAUUGGCGAGAGACCGAUAGCGAACAAGUAGCCGUGAGGGAAAGAUGAAAAGAACUUUGAAAAGAGAGUUAAACAGUACGUGAAAUUGUCAAAAGGGAAGCGUUUGACACCAGUGUUGUUUUCUCGAAGAUCAAUUAAAAAUGGCUCGAUUUUGUAUUGCUUGAGACCUUAAAAGCUCACUGUACAUUUUUCGUGUCUUUUUUAAUGCACUUUUCGUUUAACAAGUCAACAUCAGUUUCUUUUGUUGUAAAAGGGUCAUUGGAAGGUGGCUUUCUUUCCGGAGAAAGUGUUUAUAGCCUUUGGCCUCUGCAAUCGAAGAGACUGAGGUCUGCAGCGUAGACUCUUCGGGGUUAGAUACAUUUGUGCUAAGUUAUAGCUUUUUAUAGACAACUUGUUGACUAUAAUUAGUCUUGUAGCUUACUCGCUUAUGCUAUUUUACCUACGCUUAGGAUGUUGAAGAUGUAGCACAUCAU